AUUGAACGCUGGCGGCAUGCUUUACACAUGCAAGUCGAACGGCAGCGCGGGGGCAACCCUGGCGGCGAGUGGCGAACGGGUGAGUAAUACAUCGGAACGUGCCCAGUAGUGGGGGAUAGCCCGGCGAAAGCCGGAUUAAUACCGCAUACGACCUACGGGUGAAAGCAGGGGAUCGCAAGACCUUGCGCUAUUGGAGCGGC
RNAcentral lists this ribosomal RNA (200 nucleotides) under uncultured bacterium. RNAcentral describes it as "partial 16S ribosomal RNA". It matches the Rfam family "Bacterial small subunit ribosomal RNA", at positions 30 to 230 of the family's 1533-position model. The record is from RNAcentral.